UACGAAGGGGGCUAGCGUUGUUCGGAAUUACUGGGCGUAAAGGGCGCGUAGGCGGAUAGUUUAGUGAGAGGUGAAAGCCCAGGGCUCAACCUUGGAACUGCCUUUCAUACUGGCUAUCUUGAGUACGGGAGAGGUGAGUGGAACUCCGAGUGUAGAGGUGAAAUUCGUAGAUAUUCGGAAGAACACCAGUGGCGAAGGCGACUCACUGGCCCGUUACUGACGCUGAGGCGCGAAAGCGUGGGGAGCAAACAGG
This 253-nucleotide ribosomal RNA is filed under the name uncultured bacterium. RNAcentral describes it as "partial 16S ribosomal RNA". It matches the Rfam family "Bacterial small subunit ribosomal RNA", at positions 524 to 776 of the family's 1533-position model. The record is from RNAcentral.